This 218-nucleotide long non-coding RNA is filed under the name Homo sapiens (human). Its description in RNAcentral is "LHRI_LNC2082.1". Lineage: Eukaryota; Metazoa; Chordata; Mammalia; Primates; Hominidae. The record is from RNAcentral.
AGACAGCAAAGAUAUAUUAUGGUGUCACUUUUUGUAAAUGAAAAUAGGCUGAAUUCAUAUCACCCAGAUUACGUUAAUGAUUGGCCUGGUAUCCGAAGUCGAGGUUCCAAAUUUGAACAGAAUAUCUUCAUGGGGAAACAGGCCUCACUGGGACCAAAUGCUGACAUAAAACUCAGAACUUAUUAAUCAUCACUAUAAACCCAGUUUUUCCAUUCCCA